Molecule: ribosomal RNA, 800 nt
Filed under: Sporidesmiella juncicola
Lineage: Eukaryota; Fungi; Ascomycota; Sordariomycetes; Junewangiaceae
Description: partial large subunit ribosomal RNA
Rfam family: Eukaryotic large subunit ribosomal RNA
Source: RNAcentral
GUGAAGCAGGCAACAGCUCAGAUUUGAAAUCUAACUCUUUGAGUUCGAGUUGUAAUCUGUAGAGGAUGCUUUUGAUGCGAUGCCUUCUGAGUUCCCUGGAACGGGACGCCAUAGAGGGUGAGAGCCCCGUACGGUUGGACAUCAAAUCUUUGUAAAGCACCUUCGACGAGUCGAGUAGUUUGGGAAUGCUGCUCAAAGCGGGAGGUAAAUUUCUUCUAAAGCUAAAUAUUGGCCAGAGACCGAUAGCGCACAAGUAGAGUGAUCGAAAGAUGAAAAGCACUUUGAAAAGAGGGUUAAAAAGCACGUGAAAUUGUUGAAAGGGAAGCGUUUAUGACCAGACUUGUUUUUAGCUGAUCAUCUGGUGUUCUCACCAGUGCACUCGGUUAUAUUACAGGCCAGCAUCGGUUUUUUUAGAGGCAUAAAGGUUUUAGGAACGUAGCUCUUUCGGGAGUGUUAUAGCCUAUUACACAAUACCUCUGAGGGGACCGAGGCCCGCGCAUUGCAAGGAUGCUGGCGUAAUGGUCAUCAGCGACCCGUCUUGAAACACGGACCAAGGAGUCAAGCAUUAGGGCGAGUGUUUGGGUGAAAAACCCGCACGCGAAAUGAAAGUGAACGCUGGUGAGAGCUUCGGCGCAUCAUCGACCGAUCCUGAAGUUUUCGGAUGGAUUUGAGUAAGAGCCUUAACGCUUGGACCCGAAAGAUGGUGAACUAUGCUUGUAUAGGGUGAAGCCAGAGGAAACUCUGGUGGAGGCUCGCAGCGGUUCUGACGUGCAAAUCGAUCGUCAAAUAUGAGCAUGGGG